AACGAACGCUGGCGGCAGGCCUAACACAUGCAAGUCGAGCGAGGACUUCGGUUCUAGCGGCGGACGGGUGAGUAACGCGUGGGAAUGUGCCCUUCUCUACGGAAUAGCCCUGGGAAACUGGGAGUAAUACCGUAUACGCCCUAUUGGGGAAAGAUUUAUCGGAGAAGGAUCAGCCCGCGUUGGAUUAGGUAGUUGGUGGGGUAAUGGCCUACCAAGCCGACGAUCCAUAGCUGGUUUGAGAGGAUGAUCAGCCACACUGGGACUGAGACACGGCCCAGACUCCUACGGGAGGCAGCAGUGGGGGAUCUUAGACAAUGGGGGCAACCCUGAUCUAGCCAUGCCGCGUGAGUGAUGAAGGCCUUAGGGUUGUAAAGCUCUUUCAGCUGGGAAGAUAAUGACGGUACCAGCAGAAGAAGCCCCGGCUAACUCCGUG
RNAcentral lists this ribosomal RNA (433 nucleotides) under uncultured bacterium. Its description in RNAcentral is "partial 16S ribosomal RNA". It matches the Rfam family "Bacterial small subunit ribosomal RNA", at positions 29 to 507 of the family's 1533-position model. The record is from RNAcentral.